This 80-nucleotide transfer RNA is filed under the name Burkholderia gladioli. RNAcentral describes it as "tRNA-Ile(gat)". Lineage: Bacteria; Pseudomonadati; Pseudomonadota; Betaproteobacteria; Burkholderiales; Burkholderiaceae. The record is from RNAcentral.
CGAGGCCGUGGCGACGCUGUUCGGGCCGCGCCGCCUGAUGUGGGGCAGCGACUGGCCGGUGCUGCGCCUGGCGGCCUCGU